AGUGAACGCUGGCGGUAGGCCUAACACAUGCCAGUCGAACGGCAGCACAGUAAGAGCUUGCUCUUACGGGUGGCGAGUGGCGGACGGGUGAGGAAUACAUCGGGAUCUACUUUUUCGUGGGGGAUAACGUAGGGAAACUUACGCUAAUACCGCAUACGACCUACGGGUGAAAGCAGGGGAUCUUCGGACCUUGCGCGAUUGAAUGAGCCGAUGUCGGAUUAGCUAGUUGGCGGGGUAAAGGCCCACCAAGGCGACGAUCCGUAGCUGGUCUGAGAGGAUGAUCAGCCACACUGGAACUGAGACACGGUCCAGACUCCUACGGGAGGCAGCAGUGGGGAAUAUUGGACAAUGGGCGCAAGCCUGAUCCAGCCAUACCGCGUGGGUGAAGAAGGCCUUCGGGUUGUAAAGCCCUUUUGUUGGGAAAGAAAAGCAGCAGGUUAAUACCCCGCUGUUCUGACGGUACCCAAAGAAUAAGCACCGGCUAACUUCGUG
This 492-nucleotide ribosomal RNA is filed under the name uncultured bacterium. Its description in RNAcentral is "partial 16S ribosomal RNA". It matches the Rfam family "Bacterial small subunit ribosomal RNA", at positions 29 to 507 of the family's 1533-position model. The record is from RNAcentral.